This is an RNA transcript of Populus trichocarpa (black cottonwood), 1180 nucleotides long. RefSeq lists it as uncharacterized. NCBI's taxonomy places the organism in Eukaryota, Viridiplantae, Streptophyta, Magnoliopsida, Malpighiales, Salicaceae. The record is from RefSeq and is a predicted model, not a curated record. The transcript has 4 exons.
AACUCUGUUGUUAAAAACCCAGAGCGUAUUGACUAAACAAAUCAAUAAAAAGCAAAGCAACCCUUCUCUCUAUGCGGUCUCUGUCUCUGAAGAAUGCAAAGACAAUCUCUAGGCCCACCAGUAACCAAGCUCCACCCCCAUGGAGGAGCCGAUACUCUCUUAUCAAACGACACUAAACCAGUAUUCAAAGACCUGCCUCCUUCUACUUCACUCGCACCCGACGCUGACGACUUAGAUCACAAAUCAACAAAACCACGCCGAUUCUUUUCUUCUUCAUCCGUACUUUCACCUGCGCCUCCAAAACCAGAGAAACUCAUUCACCUUAUUCCUUUCCUCACCCUCUUUUGUUUCCUUGUCCUCUUCCUUGUCUCCCAUACUCCUUCUCAAUCAGAUUUGGCUCAGUUUAAUGGAUUCUCUAACCAUAUAGGUGCUACCGUGUUUUGAGUCAAGGAACAAUUUCUACAGGUGGUUACAGUCUAGUAGCCGAACUAGGCAAGAAGAUAGCAGAGAUUCAUGCAAAAGUAGAGCCAUUCAGAGAAGAUAGAGGAACUGGAAAUUAGACGAAAUAACACGGAAUAACUUGAACGGGAGCUUUCGCUCCACAAUUUAUAAACAGUGCCCAACGAAUGGCAUGAGGACCUCGAAAGAAGCAUCGAUGAAUUGAAAGGUUUUUCUGAUGAGCUGGACAAUUUCCUUGCGUAAUCUGAUCAUUCAGACGUACUGUUCAUCACUGCGGACACCUUUCUGGCUAGGGAUGGACAUGCAUCCCGAAUUAUGGAAUUGCAGGUAGAGAAAUAGAAUUUUGUUCCCUAGCACAACAUACGCUGGCAUCCACCUACUGAACUACAAGUAUGCGAAGAAGGAAGAAAUUGCCCAACAUUUCUCCAAAUGAAGUUAUAAGACCAGGAGUACCAGUUGCUCUGCCUCUAGCAUAGCAUCAUGUGAGUUUAUUUCGUAUAUGACUAGAAAUCAGGAACCCUCAGUAAGAGAAAAUAACAGAAACAACAGGAUUUAACGAAAUUUUGUACAUUGUCAUUCUGAGGGAAGAAGUCGAGACAUUGCAUGCAAUCUUAUCCAACUAAUUGGAGCAACCAGUCCUACAUUCACAGCUUUUUCCAUGCUGAAAGAACUCCAGCAAGUAAUCAAGAGAUAAUAAAAUACAAACGUUCUAGUUGAAAAA